AUGAGGAAAACUGGAAAGGCUGUGUGGUAGCUUUAUUUAUAAUCCUUUAAAUCUAGGUAAAUUGCAUACAUUUGAAAUUUCUAUACAAAUAAUGUCACCAAGAGCUACCAGCCUGAGUCUAUUUGGUCUGGAUAACGAGACCACUUAACAGAGGAAGUCAAGAUAUGAACAAAGUGGUUAUUUCAUAGAUGAGGCCUGCCUUUUGGAACCUAAGCAUGUUACAAGAAGAUGGCACAUUAGAGACUCAGCUGGACAAAACCACCUUAACAGAAAGGGAGCCCAUCUUUGGAUCUUGCGAUAAAGAGUCCAACACAAAAGUCACCUCCUUGGAAGCCUCCUGAUCGACUAUCUUGCCUCUACAUAGGCAGAGGCUCUGAAAAGCAAGGAUAGCAUCAGCUCCCUGGGCAGCUGGCUAGCAGAGGAAGACAACCUGGCAGGUCUCCUCUGACAUCAAUUUGGUGGUGUGGGAAAUCAACUUACUACUUCCAGCAAAAGAGCAGCCUCAUCCUAGAAAGCAGAGGACACCCUUAAACUGUAGCAGAAUGCUCUUGUCCAUACUGAUAUUCUCUCUUUCCUAAUAGUUCUACUAGAAGAAUUAAUGUCAUGAAUUAUUUCCAUGAAGAAUCCAAGAAUUUGAAGAGAUUUUUCUUAUUUUUUGCAAUAUGAAGGGACAAUUCAAUACUAACCAAACCUCCUAGAUCUUUCAGACCAUUUCUACAACCACUAAUCCUCUCCUGACUCACCAACAAAAGCUACAAUAACAAAGAAGCAAGGGAUUCAUUUAUUAUAUAUAACAGUCUCUUCAGUACUUCUAAAAUAACUGCAAUUUUUUGUCAUUUAAAUGCCUUUGCAUUUAAAAUCGGGUCUAAUCCAAAUCUUUCUAAAUAGUUGGGAGAUAAAACUAAUAAAAAUGCAUUUAA
Long non-coding RNA from Talpa occidentalis (Iberian mole), 920 nucleotides. RefSeq lists it as uncharacterized. NCBI's taxonomy places the organism in Eukaryota, Metazoa, Chordata, Mammalia, Eulipotyphla, Talpidae. The transcript has 6 exons. The record is from RefSeq and is a predicted model, not a curated record.